UCUCCGUAGGUGAACCUGCGGAGGGAUCAUUACAGAGUUCUCGCCCUUACGGGUAGAACUCCCACCCACGGUUAUCGUUACUGUCGUUUCUUUGGCGGGCCGCCGGGCCCCCCGGCGGACGGCGUCUAAUAGGCGGCGCGCGCCAGCCAGAGGCCUUCAAACUCUGAAUGUUAGUGUCGUCUGAGUACUAUAUAAUAGUUAAAACUUUCAACAACGGAUCUCUUGGUUCUG
This 231-nucleotide unclassified non-coding RNA is filed under the name plant metagenome. RNAcentral describes it as "partial contains small subunit ribosomal RNA, internal transcribed spacer 1, and 5.8S ribosomal RNA". The record is from RNAcentral.